This 429-nucleotide ribosomal RNA is filed under the name Actinomycetes bacterium. Its description in RNAcentral is "Actinobacteria bacterium partial 16S ribosomal RNA". It matches the Rfam family "Bacterial small subunit ribosomal RNA", at positions 355 to 776 of the family's 1533-position model. The record is from RNAcentral. Lineage: Bacteria; Bacillati; Actinomycetota; Actinomycetes.
UAGGGAAUCUUCCGCAAUGGGCGAAAGCCUGACGGAGCAACGCCGCGUGAGUGAUGAAGGUCUUCGGAUCGUAAAACUCUGUUAUUAGGGAAGAACAAAUGUGUAAGUAACUAUGCACGUCUUGACGGUACCUAAUCAGAAAGCCACGGCUAACUACGUGCCAGCAGCCGCGGUAAUACGUAGGUGGCAAGCGUUAUCCGGAAUUAUUUGGCGUAAAGCGCGCGUAGGCGGUUUUUUAAGUCUGAUGUGAAAGCCCACGGCUCAACCGUGGAGGGUCAUUGGAAACUGGAAAACUUGAGUGCAGAAGAGGAAAGUGGAAGUCCAUGUGUAGCGGUGAAAUGCGCAGAGAUAUGGAGGAACACCAGUGGCGAAGGCGACUUUCUGGUCUGUAACCGACGCUGAUGUGCGAAAGCGUGGGGAUCAAACAGG